UACCUACGGGAGGCAGCAGUGAGGAAUAUUGGUCAAUGGGCGCGAGCCUGAACCAGCCAAGUAGCGUGACGGCUGCCUGCCCUCCGGGUUGUCCCCUUCUUUUCUCCAGGCCUCCAGUGCGGCACGUGUGCCUUUUUGUAUGUACUUUAUGAAUAAGGAUCGGCUAACUCCGUGCCAGCAGCCGCGGUAAUACGGAGGAUCCGAGCGUUAUCCGGAUUUAUUGGGUUUAAAGGGAGCGUAGAUGGGUUGUUAAGUCAGUUGUGAAAGUUUGCGGCUCAACCGUAAAAUUGCAAUUGAUACUGGCA
This 305-nucleotide ribosomal RNA is filed under the name uncultured bacterium. RNAcentral's name for it is "bacterial SSU rRNA". It matches the Rfam family "Bacterial small subunit ribosomal RNA", at positions 335 to 638 of the family's 1533-position model. The record is from RNAcentral.